CAGUCGCCGCGGUAAUACGAAGGGGGCUAGCGUUGCUCGGAAUCACUGGGCGUAAAGGGUGCGUAGGCGGGUUUUUAAGUCAGAGGUGAAAUCCUGGAGCUCAACUCCAGAACUGCCUUUGAUACUGAAAGUCUUGAGUAUGGGAGAGGUGAGUGGAACUGCGAGUGUAGAGGUGAAAUUCGUAGAUAUUCGCAAGAACACCAGUGGCGAAGGCGGCUCACUGGCCCAUAACUGACGCUGAGGCACGAAAGCGUGGGGAGCAAACAGGAUUAGAUACCCCUGUAGUCCCUGUCUCUUAUAC
This 301-nucleotide ribosomal RNA is filed under the name uncultured bacterium. RNAcentral's name for it is "partial 16S ribosomal RNA". It matches the Rfam family "Bacterial small subunit ribosomal RNA", at positions 509 to 807 of the family's 1533-position model. The record is from RNAcentral.